UAGAGUUUGAUCAUGGCUCAGGAUGAACGCUAGCGACAGGCUUAACACAUGCAAGUCGAGGGGCAGCGGGGAGGUAGCAAUACUUCCGCCGGCGACCGGCGCACGGGUGAGUAACACGUAUGGAACCUGCCCGUAGCAGGGGGAUAAACGGAAGAAAUUCCGUCUAAUACCGCGUAAUAACUCCGAGAGGCAUCUCAUGGAGUUUAAAGGGUAACACCGGCUACGGAUGGCCAUGCGGCGCAUUAGCUAGUUGGCGGGGUAACGGCCCACCAAGGCGACGAUGCGUAGGGGUUCUGAGAGGAAGGUCCCCCACACUGGUACUGAGACACGGACCAGACUCCUACGGGAGGCAGCAGUGAGGAAUAUUGGUCAAUGGGCGCGAGCCUGAACCAACCAAGUCGCGUGAGGGAAGACGGUCCUAUGGAUUGUAAACCUCUUUUGUCGGGGAGCAAAAGACGCCACGUGUGGCGUUCCGAGAGUACCCGAAGAAAAAGCAUCGGCUAACUCCGUGCCAGCAGCCGCGGUAAUACGGAGGAUGCGAGCGUUAUCCGGAUUUAUUGGGUUUAAAGGGUGCGCAGGCGGAAGAUCAAGUCAGCGGUAAAAUUGAGAGGCUCAACCUCUUCGAGCCGUUGAAACUGGUUUUCUUGAGUGAGCGAGAAGUAUGCGGAAUGCGUGGUGUAGCGGUGAAAUGCAUAGAUAUCACGCAGAACUCCGAUUGCGAAGGCAGCAUACCGGCGCUCAACUGACGCUCAUGCACGAAAGUGUGGGUAUCGAACAGGAUUAGAUACCCUGGUAGUCCACACAGUAAACGAUGAAUACUAAUUGUUCGGGGAGAAUGAUCCCUGAGUGAUACAGCGAAAGCGUUAAGUAUUCCACCUGGGGAGUACGCCGGCAACGGUGAAACUCAAAGGAAUUGACGGGGGCCCGCACAAGCGGAGGAACAUGUGGUUUAAUUCGAUGAUACGCGAGGAACCUUACCCGGGCUCAAACGACACAGGAAUACUUUUGAAAGGAGGUAGCUCUACGGAGUCUGUGUCGAGGUGCUGCAUGGUUGUCGUCAGCUCGUGCCGUGAGGUGUCGGCUUAAGUGCCAUAACGAGCGCAACCCCCAUCGCCAGUUACCAGCAAGUCAAGUUGGGGACUCUGGCGAGACUGCCGGCGCAAGCUGUGAGGAAGGCGGGGACGACGUCAAAUCAGCACGGCCCUUACGUCCGGGGCGACACACGUGUUACAAUGGCAGGUACAGAGAGAAGCAAUGCGGCGACGCAAAGCGGAACUUGAAAGCCUGUCUCAGUUCGGAUUGGAGUCUGCAACUCGACUCCAUGAAGCUGGAUUCGCUAGUAAUCGCGCAUCAGCCACGGCGCGGUGAAUACGUUCCCGGGCCUUGUACACACCGCCCGUCAAGCCAUGGAAGCCGGGGGUGCCUGAAGUGCGCUGCCGCGAGGAGCGCCCUAGGGUAAAACCGGUGACUGGGGCUAAGUCGUAACAAGGUAACCGUAA
RNAcentral lists this ribosomal RNA (1499 nucleotides) under uncultured bacterium. RNAcentral describes it as "bacterial SSU rRNA". It matches the Rfam family "Bacterial small subunit ribosomal RNA". The record is from RNAcentral.